Molecule: ribosomal RNA, 406 nt
Filed under: uncultured bacterium
Lineage: Bacteria
Description: partial 16S ribosomal RNA
Rfam family: Bacterial small subunit ribosomal RNA
Source: RNAcentral
AUUGAACGCUGGCGGCAGGCCUAACACAUGCAAGUCGAACGAGUGGCGGACGGGUGAGUAAUGUCUGGGAAACUGCCUGAUGGAGGGGGAUAACUACUGGAAACGGUAGCUAAUACCGCAUACCAUCAGAUGUGCCCAGAUGGGAUUAGCUUGUUGGUGGGGUAACGGCUCACCAAGGCGACGAUCCCUAGCUGGUCUGAGAGGAUGACAGUCCACAGUGGAACUGAGGAACGGUCCAGACUCAAGCGCGAGGCACGAGUGGGGAAGAGUGCACAAAGGGCGAGAGCCUGAGGUAGCCAUGCCGCGUGUAUGAAGAAGGCCUUCGGAUUGUGAAGUACUUUCAGCGGGGAGGCGGUACCCGCAGAAGAAGAACCGGCUAACUCCGUGCCAGCAGCCGCGGUAAUUC